This 303-nucleotide ribosomal RNA is filed under the name uncultured bacterium. Its description in RNAcentral is "partial 16S ribosomal RNA". It matches the Rfam family "Bacterial small subunit ribosomal RNA", at positions 507 to 807 of the family's 1533-position model. The record is from RNAcentral.
AGCAGUAGCCGCGGGAAUACAGAGGGUGCGAGCGUUAAUCGGAUUUACUGGGCGUAAAGCGUGCGUAGGCGGCUUCUUAAGUCGGAUGUGAAAUCCCUGAGCUUAACUUAGGAAUUGCAUUCGAUACUGGGAAGCUAGAGUAUGGGAGAGGAUGGUAGAAUUCCAGGUGUAGCGGUGAAAUGCGUAGAGAUCUGGAGGAAUACCGAUGGCGAAGGCAGCCAUCUGGCCUAACACUGACGCUGAGGUACGAAAGCAUGGGGAGCAAACAGGAUUAGAUACCCCUGUAGUCCCUGUCUCUUAUAC